RNAcentral lists this ribosomal RNA (403 nucleotides) under bacterium enrichment culture clone ALO1_GLFRUDD03HFT8H. RNAcentral's name for it is "bacterial SSU rRNA". It matches the Rfam family "Bacterial small subunit ribosomal RNA", at positions 15 to 418 of the family's 1533-position model. The record is from RNAcentral.
GAGUUUGGCUCAGAUUGAACGCUGGCGGCAUGCCUUACACAUGCAAGUCGAACGGCAGCACGGGAGCUUGCUCCUGGUGGCGAGUGGCGAGCGGGUGAGUAAUGCAUCGGAACGUAUCCUGGAGUGGGGGAUAACGUAGCGAAAGUUACGCUAAUACCGCAUAUUCUGUGAGCAGGAAAGCGGGGGACCUUCGGGCCUCGCGCUCUUGGAGCGGCCGAUGUCGGAUUAGCUAGUUGGUGAGGUAAAGGCUCACCAAGGCGACGAUCCGUAGCAGGUCUGAGAGGAUGAUCUGCCACACUGGAACUGAGACACGGUCCAGACUCCUACGGGAGGCAGCAGUGGGGAAUUUUGGACAAUGGGGGCAACCCUGAUCCAGCCAUGCCGCGUGAGUGAAGAAGGCCUU